RNAcentral lists this ribosomal RNA (500 nucleotides) under uncultured Lachnospiraceae bacterium. RNAcentral describes it as "bacterial SSU rRNA". It matches the Rfam family "Bacterial small subunit ribosomal RNA", at positions 8 to 507 of the family's 1533-position model. Lineage: Bacteria; Bacillati; Bacillota; Clostridia; Lachnospirales; Lachnospiraceae. The record is from RNAcentral.
AGAGUUUGAUCCUGGCUCAGGGAUGAACGCUGGCGGCGUAGCUUAACACAUGCAAGUCGAACGAAGCACUUGAGAUUGAAUCUUCGGAUGAGAACUCUUGUGACUGAGUGGCGGACGGGUGAGUAACGCGUGGGUAACCUACCUCAUACAGGGGGAUAACAGUUGGAAACGACCGCUAAUACCGCAUAACCCGCUAGUAUCGCAUGAUACGGACGGAAAAGAUUUAUCGGUAUGAGAUGGACCCGCGUCUGAUUAGCCAGUUGGCAGGGUAACGGCCUACCAAAGCAACGAUCAGUAGCCGGCCUGAGAGGGUGAACGGCCACAUUGGGACUGAGACACGGCCCAAACUCCUACGGGAGGCAGCAGUGGGGAAUAUUGCACAAUGGGGGAAACCCUGAUGCAGCGACGCCGCGUGAGUGAGGAAGUAUUUCGGUAUGUAAAGCUCUAUCAGCAGGGAAGAAAUGACGGUACCUGACUAAGAAGCCCCGGCUAACUACGUG